UACGUAGGGGGCUAGCGUUGUCCGGAUUUAUUGGGCGUAAAGAGCGUGUAGGCGGCCAGAUAGGUCUGCUGUGAAAACUCGAGGCUUAACCUCGAGCUGUCGGCGGAAACCAUCUGGCUAGAGUCCGGAAGAGGAGAAUGGAAUUCCCGGUGUAGCGGUGAAAUGCGCAGAUAUCGGGAAGAACACCCGUGGCGAAGGCGGCUCUCUGGGACGUCCCUGACACUGAGGCGCGAAAGCGUGGGGAGCAAACAGG
This 253-nucleotide ribosomal RNA is filed under the name uncultured bacterium. RNAcentral's name for it is "partial 16S ribosomal RNA". It matches the Rfam family "Bacterial small subunit ribosomal RNA", at positions 524 to 776 of the family's 1533-position model. The record is from RNAcentral.